This 443-nucleotide ribosomal RNA is filed under the name uncultured bacterium. RNAcentral's name for it is "partial 16S ribosomal RNA". It matches the Rfam family "Bacterial small subunit ribosomal RNA", at positions 338 to 795 of the family's 1533-position model. The record is from RNAcentral.
CCUACGGGUGGCUGCAGUGGGGAAUAUUGGGCAAUGGAGGCAACUCUGACCCAGCAACGCCGCGUGAAUGAUGACGGUCUUCGGAUUGUAAAGUUCUUUUCUAGGGGAAGAAGAAAGUGACGGUACCUUAGGAAUAAGCCUAGGCUAACUACGUGCCAGCAGCCGCGGCAAUACGGAGGAGGCAAGCUUUAUCCGGAAUGACUGGGCGGAAAGGGUGCGUGGGUGGUUUGAUAAGUUAGUAGCGCAACGCCGGGGCUCAACUUCGGAACUACUACUAAAACGGUUGGACUUGAGUGCAGGAGAGGCAAGCGGAAUUCCUGGUGUAGCGGUGGAAUGCGUAGAUAUUAGGAGGAACACCAGUGGCGAAGGCGGAUUGCUAGACUGUAACUGACACUGAGGCACGAAAGCGUGGGGAGCAAACAGGAUUAGAUACCCCAGUAGUC